CAGAGGUUCGAAGGCGAUCAGAUACCGCCCUAGUUCUGACCGUAAACGAUGCCACCUGACGAUCCGCCAGGGUUACUACCAUGACUCGGCGGGCAGUCCCCGCGGAAACCCAAGCCUUCGGGUUCCGGGGGAAGUAUGGUUGCAAAGCUGAAACUUAAAGGAAUUGACGGAAGGGCACCACCAGGAGUGGAGCCUGCGGCUUAAUUUGACUCAACACGGGGAACCUCACCCGGCCCGGACACCGCGAGGAUUGACAGAUUGAGAGCUCUUUCUCGAUUCGGUGGGUGGUGGUGCAUGGCCGUUCUUAGUUGGUGGAGCGAUUUGUCUGGUUAAUUCCGAUAACGAACGAGACUCUAGCCGGUUAAGUAGCCCGAGCGGUUUUUGAUCUUUGCCGUUCAUCCCCGUUCGACCUUU
RNAcentral lists this ribosomal RNA (414 nucleotides) under Peripatopsis capensis. Its description in RNAcentral is "SSU rRNA". It matches the Rfam family "Eukaryotic small subunit ribosomal RNA", at positions 991 to 1403 of the family's 1831-position model. Lineage: Eukaryota; Metazoa; Onychophora; Udeonychophora; Euonychophora; Peripatopsidae. The record is from RNAcentral.